Molecule: ribosomal RNA, 567 nt
Filed under: Lipomyces mesembrius
Lineage: Eukaryota; Fungi; Ascomycota; Lipomycetes; Lipomycetales; Lipomycetaceae
Description: partial 26S ribosomal RNA
Rfam family: Eukaryotic large subunit ribosomal RNA
Source: RNAcentral
AAACCAACAGGGAUUGCCUUAGUAACUGCGAGUGAAGCGGCAAGAGCUCAAAUUUGAAAUCUGGCACCUUCGGUGUCCGAGUUGUAAUUUGUAGAAGCAUCUUUUGGAUUGGUCCUUGCAUAUGUUCCUUGGAACAGGACAUCAUAGAGGGUGAGAAUCCCGUUCAUGGUGGGGAAUCCAAUUCUUUGUAAAGUGCUUUCGAAGAGUCGAGUUGUUUGGGAAUGCAGCUCUAAGUGGGUGGUAAAUUCCAUCUAAAGCUAAAUAUUGGCGAGAGACCGAUAGCGAACAAGUACAGUGAUGGAAAGAUGAAAAGAACUCCGAAAGGAGAGUGAAAAAGGACGUGAAAUUGUUGAAAGGGAAGUGCUUGAGAUCAGUCUUAAGGUUUAGUGAUCAGUCUUCCUUUUGGUUGGUGCACUCACUAUUUCUUAGGCCAACAUCAGUUUUGGCGGCAGGAUAAUGGCAUUGGAAUGUGGCUCUUUCGGGAGUGUUAUAGCCUUUGUUGAUACUGCCUGCUUAGACUGAGGACUGCGCUUUUGCUAGGAUGUUGGCAUAAUGAUCUUAAGCAGC